CUGGAGCUGGGUGAGGACGACAUCGCCCGGCUCUACGCCGGGGAGGCCAUCGACGUCGACGCGGCGGCCGGUCUGGUCUGCCACACCGGCC
Molecule: transfer RNA, 91 nt
Filed under: Micromonospora phaseoli
Lineage: Bacteria; Bacillati; Actinomycetota; Actinomycetes; Micromonosporales; Micromonosporaceae
Description: tRNA-Pyl
Source: RNAcentral